This 789-nucleotide long non-coding RNA is filed under the name Brachypodium distachyon (stiff brome). RNAcentral's name for it is "long non-coding RNA (BDIS_LNC001585)". Lineage: Eukaryota; Viridiplantae; Streptophyta; Magnoliopsida; Poales; Poaceae. The record is from RNAcentral.
CGAGGAGCAAUUGCCAGACCAUCACAGAGGAGGUAAUUUGUGUUUUUGUGUUAUCUGAUCAUCUCUAUCCAUCGUCGGAUGGAACAAUAGUGUUACUAUGUUUACUUAAUUAUAAUUCUUCGAUUGCGGCAUCCCUAUCUAGAACUCACGGGUCCUGCCCGUCUUGUUAUGACCUGCAUUGAUCCUGGGAACAUCGAGGUCGUGCUCAAAGUAAUUAACUCGACUGAUCUAGCAAGGUGGGCUACAUACCGCGUACGUACCGUCGAAUCGAUGCAGAUGGAUAUGUUGACUGGUAGAGAUUUUUUUUUCUUUUGAGAGUACGGUGACUUUCUUUUUUAGGGAAUUGAGAAUAUGGUCACUUGUACAUGUAUCAGCUACUGAUUCGGCCGGCAGGCAGCAACUCUUCUUAUGGGCCAGCCAGGAAGGCCUGGUAUCCCUCCUCGCCAUUACACGGUCCAGUCCAUAGGCCAGAGGCCCAAAUCACACAAGCGCACAACAUAGACUUCCACAAAGGCCUAGCUACUAGUACACAUAUAUAUCGGGGUGGGCCUGAUUUCGUGGCCCAGGACGGCCGCCCUGCCCCUCUGGGACGGGCCUGAUUUCGUAGGUAAACUCCUCAGAGCAUCUCUUCCGCUAAAACUUUCCCUCAAGAAAAAAAUUCUCUUCCGCUAAAACCCCUACAAAUAAAAUCUUCCGCUAAAACAAAAAUUUUGACAGAAAUUUUACAUAUUAGACAAAUUGUUGGUAAAAGCCACGGUCAAAGAAAAUGAAAUACAACUUAAUUAUAUU